Amphibalanus amphitrite is the source of this 1477-nucleotide long non-coding RNA. RefSeq lists it as uncharacterized. NCBI's taxonomy places the organism in Eukaryota, Metazoa, Arthropoda, Thecostraca, Balanomorpha, Balanidae. The record is from RefSeq and is a predicted model, not a curated record. The transcript is spliced from 2 exons.
UAUUUUUUCUCAUCUUAGUUUGCUAUUUUGGCGCGAUUUUGACAAUUUCUGGCGCAUUCCACUUAUUUACUUUAGCGGCCAUAGGGCAAUGGCAUGCAAUGGUUUACUAACGGGAGAUGUGAUGAAUUGCAGCAGCAAUACUUGGAAUAUAAAGAAGAAGUGAAGCAAUUAUGAUACCUAUUAUUUUUUAUAAUGACAGAAGGAACGUGGAAGAAAAACAUUUUGUGCAGCAUGUGAAAACAAGGAAAUAAAAUGAAAGAAGGGCUGCUACUUUUCAUGCGCCCGAAACCAGCCACCUCAUCAUCAUAGCAUGUUGCAUUGGAGCUCUGCUGGAGUUUGCUGAUGACAGGAUGCUGAAGGGCUGAAGCUGGUAGCUCUGGCAGGAGUCCAGUGUCCACCAGCUCAAGAUCCGACGCCGCCGCGUCGCCGCCGUGCGGCACUCCGCGGAGACGGGGACGGCGGUCAUGAUUGAAGACACCGCAUUUCCCGCCUGGACUGUCCGGUCGGAGACUGAUAAUCCCUCCGGUGAGCCGCACACCGUGGAGCUACUGCACCGCGCGUGUCCACCCUCAGUGCAGUGCCAGCAACGGUGCCGUGAGUGCGACAUCUGCGUGCAUAUGACGCAGUGCGACUGUCACGACUCGCGGCUCAGUUACCGGGGUUACAUGAGCAAGUAAAUGCGUAUCAGGAACGGAUUUUCCUAUUCGCUCACCAUUGUAGUCCGUUUGUAAUGCGUAUUAACUCUGCUCAUGUAACCCCGAGCAGUGUUAACUGUCAGUGUGACAGUGCGGCCCGCGCUCGUUUUAGCGAGGUGCUCUGUUGUAUAUAACCACCUUGAUGGAGACAUAUGUGCUGCCGCUUGAGUUUCAAUGUACAGUUUUAUGCAUCAAACUAGCGUAAGUAAAUGGCUGUCAGAGGUCAAUUUGAAGCGCAAUUAGUACCCAUAACCCAGAUGGGUUGACCGUGUCAUGUGACAAGUCCCGAUGAACGUACUGUUUCGAUGUCGUCAGUCGUAGACUUUUGUAAACCAUUCGUUUCGGAGCUCUGUGUUGUGUUGUUCGGGAUCGCAGUUGUUUGAGCAGUUUGCUUUAUGCGUCGUACGCGCUGACAGAACGCUGGUCGUACACAAGUCAUGUGUUUCCUUUCGCCCCUAAUGGGUUACUGCGGUACCUAUGUAGUUGGAAUGUGUCUCGAGACACUAACUGGUCGCCCUUGGUUGUGAAAAUGACACUAGCUGGUCGCACUUGGUUUCAAGCUGCGUUUGGAAAUGGUGCAAUAUUAUUUGCAUUUUGCAAUGCAAUUUUAUUGCCGUAACCGUAUUGGUAGAUAGUGUCAGAAGUUGGCCAUUGGAUGCGUUGUCACUUGUCAGACGCUGUUGCCUUAGUACUGACAAAUUGAUGGGCCGCGUUUGUGUUCCUGUUAACAAACGGAUCUCAAUAUAAGGUGAUUCAGAGGUAGGAACCUGAAUGCAUUCGUU